This 457-nucleotide unclassified non-coding RNA is filed under the name Hevea brasiliensis (rubber tree). The record is from RNAcentral. Lineage: Eukaryota; Viridiplantae; Streptophyta; Magnoliopsida; Malpighiales; Euphorbiaceae.
AGUUCUUUCACGCCUCAAGCAAUUCUCAGCAAUGAACAAACUAAAGAAAAUGGCUUUGCGUGUGAUUGCCGAGAGGCUAUCAGAAGAGGAGAUUGGUGGUCUCAAGGAGCUAUUCAAAAUGUUAGACACGGACAAUAGUGGAACAAUAACCUUUGAGGAACUAAAAGAGGGUUUGAGGCGAGUAGGUUCGGAACUAAUGGAGUCUGAGAUCAAGGAUCUUAUGGAUGCAGCAGACAUUGACAACAGUGGAACAAUAGACUAUGGGGAGUUUCUUGCUGCUACUGUGCACUUAAACAAGUUUGAAAGAGAAGAGAAUCUUGUAUCAGCGUUCUCUUUCUUCGACAAAGAUGGCAGUGGAUACAUAACUAUUGAUGAGCUUCAGCAUGCUUGCAAAGAAUUUGGUCUAAGUGAGCUUAAUCUUGAUGAAAUGAUCAAAGAUAUUGAUCAAGAUAAUGAU